Molecule: non-coding RNA, 136 nt
Organism: Ornithorhynchus anatinus (platypus)
Lineage: Eukaryota; Metazoa; Chordata; Mammalia; Monotremata; Ornithorhynchidae
Source: Rfam
CCCCUCUCAGGGUCGCAUCUGGAGAGUUUCCAGUCCUCUACCAGUCUCGGCUACAAGAGGGAGUCAAGCAGAAGCCUACCCAUUCCACUCCUACCUUGGGCAGUGGCUAGCGAGUGGAAGGCAAUCUGCUACAAGU